UGCAGCCUUCUGCAGCACAGAGAGUUGGGGACAGUGAGCGGCCCACGCACAGAAAUGCAGAGGCUCAUGCUGGCUGUCAGCUUGUGACCCAGGGCCAGAAGUGGUGGGAACAGAGGCACAGUCCUGCUGGGCAAAGAUUUGAAGAACCUAACCACUGGCUGUGCCCUGUUCCUCUGACUUACCCCAUCAGUACAGAUGGUGAGGCUGCUCAGCUUUUCAGCCUGGCACCCUCUCUACUCAGGAAUGUUCUGCUCCCAUCCAGAAAUGCAAAAAUGCAUUAUGCGUGUCAGCAGCUUAACCAAAGCCAAGGAAAUAUUUGAAGAUAUCUGAAAUAUGAAUUAUGUAAAAUAAACCUGGCACG
This is a long non-coding RNA of Numida meleagris (helmeted guineafowl), 361 nucleotides long. RefSeq lists it as uncharacterized. NCBI's taxonomy places the organism in Eukaryota, Metazoa, Chordata, Aves, Galliformes, Numididae. The transcript has 3 exons. The record is from RefSeq and is a predicted model, not a curated record.